UUUGGGAAAUGAUGUGAAGGUUAACCCUAGAUAUCAGGCACUAAGCUUAUGCUGAAUGUCUUGAAUUUGCACGUUCUGAUCCCAUA
Non-coding RNA from Jatropha curcas, 86 nucleotides. Lineage: Eukaryota; Viridiplantae; Streptophyta; Magnoliopsida; Malpighiales; Euphorbiaceae. The record is from RefSeq and is a predicted model, not a curated record.